RNAcentral lists this ribosomal RNA (249 nucleotides) under uncultured bacterium. RNAcentral's name for it is "partial 16S ribosomal RNA". It matches the Rfam family "Bacterial small subunit ribosomal RNA", at positions 337 to 603 of the family's 1533-position model. The record is from RNAcentral.
UCCUACGGGGGGCAGCAGUGGGGAAUAUUGCACAAUGGGGGAAACCCUGAUGCGGCAACGCCGCGUGAGUGAAGAAGUCAUUCGUGAUGUAAAGCUCUAUCAGCAGGGAAGAAAAUGACGGUACCUGAGUAAGAAGCCCCGGCUAACUACGUGCCAGCAGCCGCGGUAAUACGUAGGGGGCAAGCGUUAUCCGGAUUUACUGGGUGUAAAGGGAGCGUAGACGGCCAGACAAGUCUGAAGUGAAAAUCC